RNAcentral lists this long non-coding RNA (206 nucleotides) under Elaeis guineensis (African oil palm). RNAcentral describes it as "long non-coding RNA (EGUI_LNC029403)". The record is from RNAcentral. Lineage: Eukaryota; Viridiplantae; Streptophyta; Magnoliopsida; Arecales; Arecaceae.
GCUCGAGUGCACGUACAGAGAGCUGUUCUGGAUUUUAUUUUGAACUAAAAUUGGGUUUAAUUCUAAGGACUUAAGGCCUUAGUUUGGGAGGUCUUAAGGGGCUAAUCCAAGGAUUGGACUAGGAUUUAGUCCAAUGGAUGUGUGCAAGGCAAGACAUGAGUGUACAUGGGCUUAGAAAUUGCAUCAAAUUGGAUUAGCUAGGGAAG